RNAcentral lists this long non-coding RNA (1039 nucleotides) under Anser brachyrhynchus (Pink-footed goose). RNAcentral describes it as "lncRNA (ENSABRG00000004702.1)". The record is from RNAcentral. Lineage: Eukaryota; Metazoa; Chordata; Aves; Anseriformes; Anatidae.
UAUCAAUUUACAGUAGUCUGAAGCUGUUUACAAGCAUAUAGGCAGUUUAAAACAAAUAGUAUGUUAAGAAGGUCUCAAGACAGAAACAAGUUUUAUUACCAGCUACUGAGGUUCUCCCUGAUGAUUGACUGGCUCACUGCAGACAGCCUGAGAAGUUAAGAAAUGUACUUUUGAUCUUUUUGUAACAUCAGCGAAAUGAAAUUAGCGGGAAUAGUUUUAACUUCACAAUUUGCUGGAAGACAAAGGAAACAACAACCACCAAUUGGAAAGAGCCCUGCUGCUCUUCAGGACAUGCAGGAAUUAGUAGACAGAAGUGGAAGAAACUUUUUUUUUUCCUCUGACAGGACAACUGGAUCAGAGACUGAAGCAGGGAAAGUACGGAAGAGGAAAUCUGAAUAUUAUGCAUCUUGACAAUGGACUCUUAAAUAGUGAAACAGCAUUUAGCAUUAUUAAAAUAUAAUAUGCUCCUAAUAAUAUGUCUGUUUUCUUGGACAGACAACAACAAGCUGUGUUGCCUUGAUGCAGAAGUGGAAACAAACAGCCAGAAAAUUCAGCACAGAAAUGAAGCUUUAAAAACAGAGAAAAGUCUGUCCAGUGCUUCUUUCUUUUAUGCUGUGGUGUUGUGGUUGCUGUUUUCCGUGAAGAAAAUGUGAAUAAGAACUUUUUCCUAGUUUACACUAUGUUGAUCUUUGUAUGUUGUAAGAUCAUGAAGAAAGGUCUAAGAUGCUAUGGUGACUCUGGCUUUAAGAGCCUGAGAAAUCACUAAAAACACUUUUUGAUUUGAAUGAAACAAACCCUUCCUUAAUCUUUAGCUAGAAGUAUAGUGUUUUUUUGUUCCAUUAAUAGGAUAUAUAUUACCAAAUAUUGCCGUACUAUCCAUGGUCCACAGAUCUGUGUGGACCAAGUCAUAAAGUGUUUUAAACAAAGCAAUAGAGCCUGUGCAUAAAAACAGAAAUGUGGUUGUCAUCAGGUGCUUACAAUACAUAUAAAAUGAUCUCUUUAGAAUAAAAUUUACCCAUCUGCAGAAGAAUGGGAUGAC